RNAcentral lists this ribosomal RNA (161 nucleotides) under uncultured bacterium. RNAcentral's name for it is "partial 16S ribosomal RNA". It matches the Rfam family "Bacterial small subunit ribosomal RNA", at positions 349 to 507 of the family's 1533-position model. The record is from RNAcentral.
CAGCAGUAGGGAAUUUUGGGCAAUGGGCGCAAGCCUGACCCAGCAACGCCGCGUGAGCGAAGACGGCCUUCGGGUUGUAAACUGCUUUUGUACGGGAAUAAACCCACGCUCGUGAGCGUGGCUGACGGUAACGGAGAGAGUAACGAUCGGCUAACUCCGUG